AUGUUCGCCGCCGAGAGCCGCGCCGGCGCCGAGGCUGAGGCCGAGCUGAGGGAGGCGGAGAGAGCGUUCGCCACCAGCCUGGCCAUCGUGGACGAGCGGCUCGAGGGUGAGCGCUCCCUGCCCCCUCCAAGUGUCCCCAUGUCCCCUCCACGUGUCCCCAUGUCCCUUCCACGUGUCCCCAUGUCCCUUCCGUGUGUCCCCCUGCCCCCUCCACGUGUCCCCAUGUACCCUCCACGUGUCCCCAUGUCCCUUCCAUGUGUCCCCACCCUCUCCCCAUGCCCCCAUCCCUUCCACAUGUCCCUCUCCCCUCCGUGUGUCCCCAUUCCUCUCCAUGUGCUCCCAUGUCUCCUCCCCGUGUCCCCCUUCCCCUCCCUCUGUCCCCAUGUCCCCUCCCCAUGUCCCUUCUCUGUGUCCCCAUCCCCUCCACGUGUCCCCAUCCUCUCCAUGUGCCCCCGUGUCCCCCUUUCCCUCGCCGUGUCCCCAUCCCUUCCAUGUGUCCCCGUGUCUCCUCCAUGUGUCCCCAUCCCCUCCAUGUUCCGCAGUCCCCAUCCCCACCCUAUUUCCAAUCCUCAUUCCCAUUCCCAAUCCCCAUUCCCGAUUCCCACCCCAUCUCCAUUCUCAUUCUCCCUCCCCACCCCAUUCCCACCCCAAUUCCCACACCAUCCCCGUUCCCAUUCCCCAAUUCCCAUUCCCCAUCCCAAUCCUCGUUCCCAUUUCUUGUUCCCCGUUCCCAAUUCCUAUUCCCCAUCCCAUCCCCAUUCCCCAAUUCCCAUUCCCCAUUCCCAAUUCCCAAUUCCCAUUCCCCAUUCCCCAUUCCCAAUCCCUCUCCCCAAUCCCAAUUCCCAUCCCAUUCCUCACCCCAUCUCUAUUCCGCACCCCACUCCCGUUGCCCCCCACCCCACAUCCCAUUGCCCCCACAUCCCAUUGCCCCAACUCCCAUUGCCUCCCAACCAAUGUCAUUGCCCCCACAUCCCAUUGCCCCCAAUCUCGUUGCCCCCACUCCCAUCACCCGCCAUCCCAUCACCC
This 1026-nucleotide long non-coding RNA is filed under the name Numida meleagris (helmeted guineafowl). Its description in RNAcentral is "lncRNA (ENSNMEG00000002030.1)". The record is from RNAcentral. Lineage: Eukaryota; Metazoa; Chordata; Aves; Galliformes; Numididae.